Molecule: ribosomal RNA, 420 nt
Filed under: uncultured bacterium
Lineage: Bacteria
Description: bacterial SSU rRNA
Rfam family: Bacterial small subunit ribosomal RNA
Source: RNAcentral
ACGGGUGAGUAACGCGUAUGCAACCUACCUAUCGAGAGGGGAAGUAACCCGGCGAAAGUCGGACUAAUACCGCAUAAAACAGGGGCACCGCAUGGUGAUAUUUGUUAAAGAAAUUCGCUGAUAGAUGGGCAUGCGUUCCAUUAGGUAGUUGGUGAGGUAACGGCUCACCAAGCCGACGAUGGAUAGGGGAACUGAGAGGUUGGUCCCCCACACUGGUACUGAGACACGGACCAGACUCCUACGGGAGGCAGCAGUGAGGAAUACUGGUCAAUGGGCGAGAGCCUGAACCAGCCAAGUCGCGUGAAGGAAGAAGGAUCUAUGGUUCGUAAACUUCUUUUGCAGGGGAAUAAAGUGCAGGACGUGUCCUGUUUUGUAUGUACCCUGAGAAUAAGGAUCGGCUAACUCCGUGCCAGCCGCGGC